GAUGAACGCUGGCGGCGUGCCUAAUACAUGCAAGUCGAGCGAACAGAUGAGGAGCUUGCUCCUCUGACGUUAGCGGCGGACGGGUGAGUAACACGUGGAUAACCUACCUAUAAGACUGGGAUAACUUCGGGAAACCGGAGCUAAUACCGGAUAAUAUAUUGAACCGCAUGGUUCAAUAGUGAAAGACGGUUUUGCUGUCACUUAUAGAUGGAUCCGCGCCGCAUUAGCUAGUUGGUAAGGUAACGGCUUACCAAGGCAACGAUGCGUAGCCGACCUGAGAGGGUGAUCGGCCACACUGGAACUGAGACACGGUCCAGACUCCUACGGGGGGCAGCAGUAGGGAAUCUUCCGCAGUGGGCGAAAGCCUGACGGAGCAACGCCGCGUGAGUGAUGAAGGUCUUCGGAUCGUAAAACUCUGUUAUUAGGGAAGAACAAAUGUGUAAGUAACUAUGCACGUCUUGACGGUACCUAAUCAGAAAGCCACGGCUAACUACGUG
RNAcentral lists this ribosomal RNA (497 nucleotides) under uncultured bacterium. Its description in RNAcentral is "partial 16S ribosomal RNA". It matches the Rfam family "Bacterial small subunit ribosomal RNA", at positions 28 to 507 of the family's 1533-position model. The record is from RNAcentral.